This 492-nucleotide ribosomal RNA is filed under the name uncultured bacterium. Its description in RNAcentral is "partial 16S ribosomal RNA". It matches the Rfam family "Bacterial small subunit ribosomal RNA", at positions 29 to 507 of the family's 1533-position model. The record is from RNAcentral.
AGUGAACGCUGGCGGUAGGCCUAACACAUGCAAGUCGAACGGCAGCACAGUAAGAGCAUGCUCUUACGGGUGGCGAGUGGCGGACGGGUGAGGAAUACAUCGGAAUCUACUUUUUCGUGGGGGAUAACGUAGGGAAACUUACGCUAAUACCGCAUACGACCUACGGGUGAAAGUAGGGGAUCUUCGGACCUUGCGCGAUUGAAUGAGCCGAUGUCGGAUUAGCUAGUUGGCGGGGUAAAGGCCCACCAAGGCGACGAUCCGUAGCUGGUCUGAGAGGAUGAUCAGCCACACUGGAACUGAGACACGGUCCAGACUCCUACGGGAGGCAGCAGUGGGGAAUAUUGGACAAUGGGCGCAAGCCUGAUCCAGCCAUACCGCGUGGGUGAAGAAGGCCUUCGGGUUGUAAAGCCCUUUUGUUGGGAGAGAAAAGCAGCAGGUUAAUACCCCGCUGUUCUGACGGUACCCAAAGAAUAAGCACCGGCUAACUUCGUG